GGCUCUGAGGCCUCCCGGCAGCGGAAGUGGAGCGGGAUUUCGCGGCGCGGUGGCCGCUGCGUGAGGCUCGCUGUGGGGUGGCUUCCCCUGUCCUCCUCUCCACCACUUCUCGUUCGUUCAUUUCCACACACGCGUUGCUUGGCGCUCUGCCCGGCUCUGGGGAUGAGCCGACUGGGCUCAAUACCUAACUUCAAGGAGCUCGUUGUAUCCCGGGAAAAACCAAACCGGCCAGAGAAUACAAUACAGAGUGGUGUUCGUGGAAAAACAGGUGUUACUCCCGUUCGCAGGAGCGACUCAGAGUUACCUUGGAACCAAAAAUGUCGCCCCAAAUCUGCCUACGCUUCACCCUUCCACCCCGCUGCAGCACUUUCUGGGAAUUUUAAGAAACUUCCCCCGCCCCGUGUGAAAUUUUGGUUUUCAAAAAUAGAACAGCGCAAAUCCUCCCUCUCCUUGCACGUGGUGCUUCGGGGCUCAAGUUAAACAGCACUGAAAGAGCACCUGCCAGUCUCCAGCUCAGCUGGAGGGUGGGGAGGUGGCUGGAGACAUGACCUUCCAGGCACUGAGGCUCUGUAGUGGGAGUCUUCGUGUUUCCACCUCAUGCUUCCAAAAAGACGGUCAAGGCCAGAGUCAGGGAAGAGUCAUGGAGAAGGGUGAAAACCCGAGACAGCCUGAGGAGGAGAGGCAGCUGACAUCCGCCCGGAUGAUGUGUCUACCGAGAAGCACUUCCUGCGCUGAGCACUCUGAUUUGGGAGCACUGAGGAGGGAGACAAGCAUCCAGGGGAGAGAGACAGAGCAUGAACGGGGGAGGAGCAGAGAGAGAGGGAGAC
Herpailurus yagouaroundi (jaguarundi) is the source of this 827-nucleotide long non-coding RNA. RefSeq lists it as uncharacterized. NCBI's taxonomy places the organism in Eukaryota, Metazoa, Chordata, Mammalia, Carnivora, Felidae. The record is from RefSeq and is a predicted model, not a curated record. The transcript is spliced from 3 exons.